GCUUGGCCCUAAACCUCAAUAGUUAAAAUAACAAAACUAUUCGCCAGAAUACUACAAGCAACAGCUUAAAACUCAAAGGACUUGGCGGUGCUUCAUACCCCCUAGAGGAGCCUGUUCUGUAAUCGAUAAACCCCGAUCCACCCCACCCUCUCUUGCUUAGUCUAUAUACCGCCAUCUUCAGCAAACCCUGAUGAAGGCUACGAAGUGAGCGCAAAUGCCCUUCCCCGCAAAAACGUUAGGUCAAGGUGUAACUUAUGAGACGGUAAAAAUGGGCUACAUUUUCUACUUCAGAAAACCCCACGAUAGCUCUUAUGAAAUCUAGGAGCCCAAGGAGGAUUUAGCAGUAAAUUAAGAAUAGAGUGCUUAAUUGAACUAGGCCAUAAAGCACGC
RNAcentral lists this ribosomal RNA (390 nucleotides) under Papio anubis (olive baboon). RNAcentral describes it as "partial 12S ribosomal RNA". It matches the Rfam family "Bacterial small subunit ribosomal RNA", at positions 794 to 1384 of the family's 1533-position model. Lineage: Eukaryota; Metazoa; Chordata; Mammalia; Primates; Cercopithecidae. The record is from RNAcentral.